GACGAACGCUGGCGGCGUGCCUAAUACAUGCAAGUCGAGCGCAGGAAAUCGACGGAACCCUUCGGGGGGAAGUCGAUGGAAUGAGCGGCGGACGGGUGAGUAACACGUAAAGAACCUGCCCUCAGGUCUGGGAUAACCACGAGAAAUCGGGGCUAAUACCGGAUGGGUCAUCGGACCGCAUGGUCCGAGGAUGAAAGGCGCUUCGGCGUCGCCUGGGGAUGGCUUUGCGGUGCAUUAGCUAGUUGGUGGGGUAAUGGCCCACCAAGGCGACGAUGCAUAGCCGACCUGAGGGGGGGAUCGGCCACACUGGGACUGAGACACGGCCCAGACUCCUACGGGAGGCAGCAGUAGGGAAUCUUCCACAAUGGACGAAAGUCUGAUGGAGCAACGCCGCGUGAACGAUGAAGGCCUUCGGGUCGUAAAGUUCUGUUGUAAGGGAAGAACAAGUGCCGCAGGCAAUGGCGGCACCUUGACGGUACCUUGCGAGAAAGCCACGGCUAACUACGUGCCAGCCGCCGCCGUAA
Molecule: ribosomal RNA, 524 nt
Filed under: uncultured bacterium
Lineage: Bacteria
Description: partial 16S ribosomal RNA
Rfam family: Bacterial small subunit ribosomal RNA
Source: RNAcentral